ACCGACUCUGUAGUGUGGUUAAACCCUUCCCCCAUGAAUUUCACCUGCUCUGCCCUCCUGUUGCUGUUUCAGGUGACUUACAGAGUGUGUUGGUUGCAUGGAUUUCCAUGAUGCAUCACAAGCUCUGUCUCCUUCCUAACAUGGCUGCAGCGAAGUGAAAUCCGUCUGCUGGUUUGCAGUUAACAGAAGGACGUCAGAACAAUGAAAGGAAGAAAUUAGAAGUCCUUGAGGAUAGACAUACAAGGAAGUACACCUUUGCAUCAUGGGAAGAAACCAGCAGCAAAACCCAUUGCCCUGAGCUCAACUUGGAUCGCACCAGACCAAGUUGUAAUGAUCUUAUUAGUCAUAAAGCUUUUUAAAAAUUAUAAUUGCACGUAUAAUACAAAAUUUUAAGCAAUGAA
This is a long non-coding RNA of Cavia porcellus (domestic guinea pig), 401 nucleotides long. RefSeq lists it as uncharacterized. The transcript has 2 exons. The record is from RefSeq and is a predicted model, not a curated record. NCBI's taxonomy places the organism in Eukaryota, Metazoa, Chordata, Mammalia, Rodentia, Caviidae.